Setaria italica (foxtail millet) is the source of this 638-nucleotide long non-coding RNA. RefSeq lists it as uncharacterized. The record is from RefSeq and is a predicted model, not a curated record. Lineage: Eukaryota; Viridiplantae; Streptophyta; Magnoliopsida; Poales; Poaceae. The transcript is spliced from 2 exons.
GGAGAGAGACGCGAGCCGCACAGGCUCGUGCUCCCAAGCCAAACCGCCGGCCCCAUCGCCGUUGUAUGCCGUCGUCGUCUCCUCCUGGAUCGGCUGCGAUGCCGGAUGCAGCAGUUGCGCAAGGCUUACCAGAUGCGACGCAAUCCUUGGAGCGGACGGGGGCGGCGGCGGCAGCGGGGGAGCGGAAAGGCGCGAUGACGACCGAGAAGCGGAAAGGCUCGACGGCAGCAGCUGCUUCCGUCUCCGUUGCUUCGUCCACCGACCGGCGCAGCGAAAGGGAGAGCAGGGCGGCGAGUUGCUCGAAGCCUGGAUCUGGCUCCAAGCCUUGCUACCGUCCGCUGACCCAUCGGCAUUCAGGUCCGCUACUCCAGUCCAUCUAACAAAGUACUCCUACAUGGCUUCUGUGCUUUCUUCUCUGAACGCCAGUGCUGCUUUGCUUAUAUGUUUACUUCAACAUCACUGAUGCAAAUAAUACCGAGUGAAGAUGUGCAGAUCUUCUCUUUUCUGAUUCGUGAUUCCUUUUACAUCUGGUGUUUGUAAAUCUGAAACAUAGAAUUGUGUUUCUAAUUUUAUGAGUGAUUUUUAUGAUUCAGAAUAUGAUGAAAGAUUAAGCAAGUUGAAAUCAUGGUCUUUUGUUC